This 253-nucleotide ribosomal RNA is filed under the name uncultured bacterium. RNAcentral's name for it is "partial 16S ribosomal RNA". It matches the Rfam family "Bacterial small subunit ribosomal RNA", at positions 524 to 776 of the family's 1533-position model. The record is from RNAcentral.
UACGUAGGGGGCAAGCGUUAUCCGGAUUUACUGGGUGUAAAGGGAGCGUAGACGGUUGUAUAAGUCUGGAGUGAAAGCCCGGGGCCCAACCCCGGGACUGCUUUGGAAACUGUGUAACUUGAGUAUAGGAGGGGCAGGCGGAAUUCCUGGUGUAGCGGUGAAAUGCGUAGAUAUCAGGAGGAACACCGGCGGCGAAGGCGGCCUGCUGGACUGAAACUGACGUUGAGGCUCGAAAGCGUGGGGAGCAAACAGG